This 29-nucleotide non-coding RNA is filed under the name Cricetulus griseus (Chinese hamster). Lineage: Eukaryota; Metazoa; Chordata; Mammalia; Rodentia; Cricetidae. The record is from RNAcentral.
CAGAAGGAUUGUGUAAGCUGAACACAAAU